RNAcentral lists this ribosomal RNA (398 nucleotides) under uncultured bacterium. Its description in RNAcentral is "bacterial SSU rRNA". It matches the Rfam family "Bacterial small subunit ribosomal RNA", at positions 362 to 776 of the family's 1533-position model. The record is from RNAcentral.
UAUUGCACAAUGGGUGAAACCCUGAUGCAGCAACGCCGCGUGAGUGAGGAAGUAUUUCGGUAUGUAAAGCUCUAUCAGCAGGGAAUAGAAAAGAAGGUACCUGAAAAAGAAGCCCCAGCUAACUACGAGCCAGCAGCCGCGGUAAUACGUAGGGGGCAAGCGUUAUCCGGAUUUACUGGGUGUAAAGGGAGCGUAGACGGAAAGGCAAGUCAGAAGUGAAAACCCAAGGCUCAACCAUGGGACUGCUUUUGAAACUGUCAAACUAGAGUACGGGAGAGGUAAGAGGAAUUCCUAGUGUAGCGGUGAAAUGCGUAGAUAUUAGGAGGAACACCAGUGGCGAAGGCGGCUUACUGGACAGUAACUGACGUUGAGGCUCGAAAGCGUGGGGAGCAAACAGG